UGGCUUAACCAUAGAACUGCUUGGGAAACUGAUAAUCUAGAGUGAGGGAGAGGCAGAUGGAAUUGGUGGUGUAGGGGUAAAAUCCGUAGAGAUCACCAGGAAUACCCAUUGCGAAGGCGAUCUGCUGGAACUCAACUGACGCUAAUGCGUGAAAGCGUGGGGAGCAAACAGGAUUAGAUACCCUGGUAGUCCACGCCCUAAACGAUGUAUACUAGUUGUUGCUAAGCUAGUCUUGGCAGUAAUGCACCUAACGGAUUAAGUAUACCGCCUGGGGAGUACGGUCGCAAGAUUAAAACUCAAAGGAAUAGACGGGGACCCGCACAAGCGGUGGAGCAUGUGGUUUAAUUCGAAGAUACGCGAAGAACCUUACCCGGACUUGAUAUCUAACAAAUCAUCUAGAGAUAGAAGAGUGUCUGCUUGCAGAAAUGUUAAGACAGGUGCUGCACGGCUGUCGUCAGCUCGUGUCGUGAGAUGUUGGGUUAAGUCCCGCAACGAGCGCAACCCACGUCAUUAGUUGCUAACAGUU
This 526-nucleotide ribosomal RNA is filed under the name uncultured Campylobacter sp. RNAcentral describes it as "bacterial SSU rRNA". It matches the Rfam family "Bacterial small subunit ribosomal RNA", at positions 605 to 1126 of the family's 1533-position model. The record is from RNAcentral. Lineage: Bacteria; Pseudomonadati; Campylobacterota; Epsilonproteobacteria; Campylobacterales; Campylobacteraceae.